This is a non-coding RNA of Galeopterus variegatus (Sunda flying lemur), 75 nucleotides long. The record is from the annotation of a RefSeq genome assembly. NCBI's taxonomy places the organism in Eukaryota, Metazoa, Chordata, Mammalia, Dermoptera, Cynocephalidae.
GGCCAGUUAGCUCAGUUGGUUAGAGCGCAGUGUUGCUAACACUAAGGUCAGGGGUUCAGAUCCCCGUACUGGCCA